This 74-nucleotide transfer RNA is filed under the name Phycisphaerae bacterium. RNAcentral's name for it is "tRNA-Arg". It matches the Rfam family "tRNA". Rfam says of the family: Transfer RNA (tRNA) molecules are approximately 80 nucleotides in length. Their secondary structure includes four short double-helical elements and three loops (D, anti-codon, and T loops). The record is from RNAcentral. Lineage: Bacteria; Pseudomonadati; Planctomycetota; Phycisphaerae.
GUCCGUGUAGCUCAAUUGGAUAGAGCGUCGCCCUCCGAAGGCGAAGGCUGUGGGUUCGAGUCCCGCCAUGGACG